GAUGAACGCUGGCGGCGUGCCUAAUACAUGCAAGUCGAGCGAACGGACGAGAAGCUUGCUUCUCUGAUGUUAGCGGCGGACGGGUGAGUAACACGUGGAUAACCUACCUAUAAGACUGGGAUAACUUCGGGAAACCGUAGCUAAUACCGGAUAAUACUUUGAACCGCAUGGUUCAAAAGUGAAAGACGGUCUUGCUGUCACUUAUAGAUGGAUCCGCGCUGCAUUAGCUAGUUGGUAAGGUAACGGCUUACCAAGGCAACGAUGCAUAGCCGACCUGAGAGGGUGAUCGGCCACACUGGAACUGAGACACGGUCCAGACUCCUACGGGAGGCAGCAGUAGGGAAUCUUCCGCAAUGGGCGAAAGCCUGACGGAGCAACGCCGCGUGAGUGAUGAAGGUCUUCGGAUCGUAAAACUCUGUUAUUAGGGAAGAACAUAUGUGUAAGUAACUGUGCACAUCUUGACGGUACCUAAUCAGAAAGCCACGGCUAACUACGUGCCAGCAGCCGCGGUAAUACGUAGGUGGCAAGCGUUAUCCGGAAUUAUUGGGCGUAAAGCGCGCGUAGGCGGUUUUUUAAGUCUGAUGUGAAAGCCCACGGCUCAACCGUGGAGGGUCAUUGGAAACUGGAAAACUUGAGUGCAGAAGAGGAAAGUGGAAUUCCAUGUGUAGCGGUGAAAUGCGCAGAGAUAUGGAGGAACACCAGUGGCGAAGGCGACUUUCUGGUCUGUAACUGACGCUGAUGUGCGAAAGCGUGGGGAUCAAACAGGAUUAGAUACCCUGGUAGUCCACGCCGUAAACGAUGAGUGCUAAGUGUUAGGGGGUUUCCGCCCCUUAGUGCUGCAGCUAACGCAUUAAGCACUCCGCCUGGGGAGUACGACCGCAAGGUUGAAACUCAAAGGAAUUGACGGGGACCCGCACAAGCGGUGGAGCAUGUGGUUUAAUUCGAAGCAACGCGAAGAACCUUACCAAAUCUUGACAUCCUUUGACAACUCUAGAGAUAGAGCCUUCCCCUUCGGGGGACAAAGUGACAGGUGGUGCAUGGUUGUCGUCAGCUCGUGUCGUGAGAUGUUGGGUUAAGUCCCGCAACGAGCGCAACCCUUAAGCUUAGUUGCCAUCAUUAAGUUGGGCACUCUAAGUUGACUGCCGGUGACAAACCGGAGGAAGGUGGGGAUGACGUCAAAUCAUCAUGCCCCUUAUGAUUUGGGCUACACACGUGCUACAAUGGACAAUACAAAGGGCAGCGAAACCGCGAGGUCAAGCAAAUCCCAUAAAGUUGUUCUCAGUUCGGAUUGUAGUCUGCAACUCGACUACAUGAAGCUGGAAUCGCUAGUAAUCGUAGAUCAGCAUGCUACGGUGAAUACGUUCCCGGGUCU
RNAcentral lists this ribosomal RNA (1372 nucleotides) under uncultured bacterium. Its description in RNAcentral is "bacterial SSU rRNA". It matches the Rfam family "Bacterial small subunit ribosomal RNA", at positions 28 to 1381 of the family's 1533-position model. The record is from RNAcentral.